GACCUGGUGGGGUGGUCCGCUUAACGGCGUGUACUGCUCUGCUGGGCCUUACCUCUUGGUGAGCCGGCGUGGUCUUCACUGAUUGCGUCGGGGAACCAGGACUUUUACCUUGAGAAAAUUAGAGUGUUCAAAGCAGGCCUAUGCCUGAAUACAUUAGCAUGGAAUAAUAAAAUAGGACUU
RNAcentral lists this ribosomal RNA (180 nucleotides) under uncultured Glomeromycotina. RNAcentral describes it as "partial small subunit ribosomal RNA". The stretch from base 91 to 180 matches the Rfam family "Eukaryotic small subunit ribosomal RNA", at positions 738 to 830 of the family's 1831-position model. The record is from RNAcentral. Lineage: Eukaryota; Fungi; Glomeromycota.